RNAcentral lists this ribosomal RNA (119 nucleotides) under Pteropus alecto (black flying fox). The record is from RNAcentral. Lineage: Eukaryota; Metazoa; Chordata; Mammalia; Chiroptera; Pteropodidae.
GUCUACAGCCAUGCUAUCCUGUACAAGCUGGAUCCCAUCUGAUCUUGGAAUCUAAGCAGGAUUGGGCUUGGUUAGUACUUGAAUGGGAGACCACCUAGGAAGACCAGGUGCUGUAGGGG